CUUAUCAAGAGCGGCUGAGGUACUGGACCUGUGAAGCCCGGCAACCUGAUUUGUGCAUUGCAUAAAAAAAGGUGCUAAUUCCUGCGGAUAAUUCCGAGAGAUGAGG
This 106-nucleotide non-coding RNA is filed under the name human gut metagenome. Its description in RNAcentral is "SAM riboswitch (S box leader)". It matches the Rfam family "SAM riboswitch aptamer (S box leader)". Rfam says of the family: The SAM riboswitch is found upstream of a number of genes which code for proteins involved in methionine or cysteine biosynthesis in Gram-positive bacteria. The SAM riboswitch acts at the level of transcription termination control. The record is from RNAcentral.